AGCCUGAACCAGCCAAGUAGCGUGAAGGAUGAAGGCUCUAUGGGUCGUAAACUUCUUUUAUAUAAGAAUAAAGUGCAGUAUGUAUACUGUUUUGUAUGUAUUAUAUGAAUAAGGAUCGGCUAACUCCGUGCCAGCAGCCGCGGUAAUACGGAGGAUCCGAGCGUUAUCCGGAUUUAUUGGGUUUAAAGGGAGCGUAGGUGGACUGGUAAGUCAGUUGUGAAAGUUUGCGGCUCAACCGUAAAAUUGCAGUUGAUACUGUCAGUCUUGAGUACAGUAGAGGUGGGCGGAAUUCGUGGUGUAGCGGUGAAAUGCUUAGAUAUCACGAAGAACUCCGAUUGCGAAGGCAGCUCACUGGACUGCAACUGACACUGAUGCUCGAAAGUGUGGGUAUCAAACAGGAUUAGAUACCCUGGUAGUCCACACAGUAAACGAUGAAUACUCGCUGUUUGCGAUAUACAGUAAGCGGCCAAGCGAAAGCAUUAAGUAUUCCACCUGGGGAGUACGCCGGCAACGGUGAAACUCAAAGGAAUUGACGGGGGCCCGCACAAGCGGAGGAACAUGUGGUUUAAUUCGAUGAUACGCGAGGAACCUUACCCGGGCUUAAAUUGCAGUGGAAUGAUGUGGAAACAUGUCAGUGAGCAAUCACCGCUGUGAAGGUGCUGCAUGGUUGUCGUCAGCUCGUGCCGUGAGGUGUCGGCUUAAGUGCCAUAACGAGCGCAACCCUUAUCUUUAGUUACUAACAGGU
This 745-nucleotide ribosomal RNA is filed under the name Bacteroides fragilis. Its description in RNAcentral is "bacterial SSU rRNA". It matches the Rfam family "Bacterial small subunit ribosomal RNA", at positions 380 to 1126 of the family's 1533-position model. Lineage: Bacteria; Pseudomonadati; Bacteroidota; Bacteroidia; Bacteroidales; Bacteroidaceae. The record is from RNAcentral.